RNAcentral lists this ribosomal RNA (497 nucleotides) under uncultured bacterium. Its description in RNAcentral is "partial 16S ribosomal RNA". It matches the Rfam family "Bacterial small subunit ribosomal RNA", at positions 28 to 507 of the family's 1533-position model. The record is from RNAcentral.
GAUGAACGCUGGCGGCGUGCCUAAUACAUGCAAGUCGAACGCUGAAGGAAGGAGCUUGCUCUUUCCGGGUGAGUGGCGAACGGGUGAGUAACGCGUAGGUAACCUACCUGGUAGCGGGGGAUAACUAUUGGAAACGAUAGCUAAUACCGCAUAACAUAAGAUAUUGCAUGAUUUCUACUUAAAAGGUGCAAUUGCACCACUACCAGGUGGACCUGGGUUCUAUUAGGUAGUUGGGGAGGUAACGGCCUAACAAGGCGACGAUACAUAGCCGGACUGGGAGGGUGGACGGGCAAACUUGGAAUGGAGACCGGCCCCAGCCUCCUCGGGAGGGAGCAGGAAGGGAUCCUCGGGCAUAGAGGGAAGGCUGACCGAGCCAAGCCGGGUGGGUGAAGGAGGUUCUCGGAUCGGAAAGCUUUUUUGUAAGAGAAGAAAGAGUGGGAGAGUUGAAUAUGCACGCUGUGACGGUAUCUUACCAGAAAGGGACGGCUAACUACGUG